AUCACAUAUAUAAAAAAAACUAUCGAUAAUAUAUAUAUAAAUAAACUCACUCUGCGCAAGGCGCAUCUCUUAUCCUAGUUUCAAAUUAAAAGACAGAGUUAAUCAUGCCUUGAGAGACUUGUUUCCCAAUCAAUUUUUCUUAUUUGAAAAUAACAAAAAUCUAUACAUAGUUUAAUAGACACGUACCUUAUGCAUACACAUAUUGCAUAAUUACUUAUAACAAUUUUUUUAUUCUUUGAAAUCAAUCAAAACUUAAAAAAAAAAAAGGAAUUGGAUGGGAAUCUUAUUACAUGCCAACAAAUUCGUUUUAACCACCGAAAUCGCCGCCAUAACCACUGCCUAGACAUGCGAUGCUUUCUUUGCCAUCUUUCUUAGCUUUGUGGUAGAGAAAGUGAGUUAGCCAUAAGAGGAACAUGAACAAGAGAAGCCCUCCAAACGCUAUAAACAAAAUCCCCACAGGGUUCAUCUUUAAUUCUUCUUGCUCGUAGUGAUUUUACCUUCACUUUUCAUAUAGGGGAAUAAGAAGAGGUGUAUUUAUAUAGAGAGAUGAUGAGCCUAUCACUGACUUAAUUUUAUAAACCAACUCGUUCAUUUUGU
This 597-nucleotide long non-coding RNA is filed under the name Brassica napus (rape). Its description in RNAcentral is "long non-coding RNA (BNAP_LNC013274)". Lineage: Eukaryota; Viridiplantae; Streptophyta; Magnoliopsida; Brassicales; Brassicaceae. The record is from RNAcentral.